Macadamia integrifolia is the source of this 369-nucleotide long non-coding RNA. RefSeq lists it as uncharacterized. The record is from RefSeq and is a predicted model, not a curated record. The transcript has 2 exons. Lineage: Eukaryota; Viridiplantae; Streptophyta; Magnoliopsida; Proteales; Proteaceae.
GCAGAAACAAGAAAAUCAUGUUCAUUGUUUUUACUUUCUACAGCUUAGUUUUUUGAAGGAGAAUAGGGCAUUAUCACUGAAAAAUCUGAAAACUUGAGACGAGAAAAUGGAGCAUGGAGGAAUUGAAGAGUGUUCGAUUGGUUAGUUCGAUGUCCAGAUGGGUCGAUAGAAGUGGAGCAGAUUCAGAGACUCCCUCAAUAUCCAUUUUUUAUGAGGAUGAGCUUAGGAAAGAGGCUUAUGAAGACGCCAAAGAGAGUUGAUUCCUUUGAUGUUGAAGUUCCUUUUCUUUUUUUCUGUUUUUCAGUAGAAGCCAUGUAUGUUUCUAACUUAACAUGGACACUAUUUGAAGGUACUUAGUUCUGAUCUUCA